GGAGAGGGCUAGCGAUAUUCGGAAUUAUUGGGCGUAAAGGGCGCGUAGGCGGAUUAGUAAGUUAAAUGUGAAAUCCCAAGGCUCAACCUUGGAAUUGCUUUUAAAACUGCUAAUCUAGAGAUUGAAAGAGGAUAGAGGAAUUCCUAGUGUAGAGGUGAAAUUCGUAAAUAUUAGGAGGAACACCAGUGGCGAAGGCGUCUAUCUGGUUCAAAUCUGACGCUGAGGCGCGAAGGCGUGGGGAGCAAACAGGAUUAGAUACCCUGGUAGUCCACGCUGUAAACGAUGAAUGUUAAAUAUGGGGAGUUUACUUUCUGUAUUACAGCUAACGCGUUAAACAUUCCGCCUGGGGACUACGGUCGCAAGAUUAAAACUCAAAGGAAUUGACGGGGACCCGCACAAGCGGUGGAGCAUGUGGUUUAAUUCGAUGCAACGCGAAAAACCUUACCACUCCUUGACAUGGAAAUUAUACCUAUUCGAAGGGAUAGGGUCGGUUCGGCCGGGUUUCACACAGGUGU
RNAcentral lists this ribosomal RNA (515 nucleotides) under bacterium symbiont of Megymenum gracilicorne. RNAcentral's name for it is "bacterial SSU rRNA". It matches the Rfam family "Bacterial small subunit ribosomal RNA", at positions 527 to 1041 of the family's 1533-position model. The record is from RNAcentral.